GCUGCUUAAAUGCGGACGGUUAUAGCAUCGCAACUUGGCUUCGUCCAUAAUCACAGAACUCGCCGAACUCUGUUCUGAGAGAUCCGAUGUUUUCGUUUGAUGCCAUUUUGAGUCUUCAGUGGACCGGAAGCUUCGGUGGACGUUUAGCCCGCCGGGCCGUCCUCAGGUGAAACCAGCUUCUCACGUCGCUCUGAAUGCAUUGUGUCCAUAUUCAAUGGGAUCACUGUGGAGACGGCAGGGUCCCUGUUUCCAGCCGGCUGGCCACACCGGUUUGCGCUCCAGGUUUCACCAGUCGCGUCAGACGCAGACCUGCGGAGGUCGAAGUCACUGUAUGGAGAUACGAGGCAAAAUAUGGCUCUAAGAGUCAGUUUGUGUGUUGUAAAAAAUAAAAAAAACAGUGGUUGAAUGUACAUUCACUCAAAUACUGUCCUGAAGCACAGUUUUGAGGUGCUUAUUCUUUACUUGAGUAUUUCCAUUUUCUGGUACUUUAUACUUAUACCCAA
Molecule: long non-coding RNA, 503 nt
Organism: Xiphias gladius (swordfish)
Lineage: Eukaryota; Metazoa; Chordata; Actinopteri; Istiophoriformes; Xiphiidae
Exons: 3
Source: RefSeq, a predicted model, not a curated record